GAUGAACGCUGGCGGCGUGCCUAAUACAUGCAAGUCGAGCGAACGGACGAGAAGCUUGCUUCUCUGAUGUUAGCGGCGGACGGGUGAGUAACACGUGGAUAACCUACCUAUAAGACUUGGAUAACUUCGGGAAACCGGAGCUAAUACCGGAUAAUAUUUUGAACCGCAUGGUUCAAAAGUGAAAGACGGUCUUGCUGUCACUUAUAGAUGGAUCCGCGCUGCAUUAGCUAGUUGGUAAGGUAACGGCUUACCAAGGCAACGAUGCAUAGCCGACCUGAGAGGGUGAUCGGCCACACUGGAACUGAGACACGGUCCAGACUCCUACGGGAGGCAGAAGUAGGGAAUCUUCCGAAAUGGGCGAAAGCCUGAAGGAGCAACGCCGCGUGAGUGAUGAAGGUCUUCGGAUCGUAAAACUCUGUUAUUAGGGAAGAACAUAUGUGUAAGUAACUGUGCACAUCUUGACGGUACCUAAUCAGAAAGCCACGGCUAACUACGUG
Molecule: ribosomal RNA, 497 nt
Filed under: uncultured bacterium
Lineage: Bacteria
Description: partial 16S ribosomal RNA
Rfam family: Bacterial small subunit ribosomal RNA
Source: RNAcentral